ACCAGGUUAGUCCUGAAUAAAGGGAUGAAGCUGAGACCAGAAAGGGAAGUAGUCUGCAGUCCCUCUCAGGGAGAAUGGGAGUUUUGUUUGGCAAGGAAUCAAAGUGGAGAGUGCACUGGGGCUACCUGUCAAGAUCCUUCAACCUUCAAACUUCAGCUAGUGAAGAAUUUUCUGUCUACUUACAGCUGCCCACACUGAGGAGGAGAGAUGCAGAAGGGCUGAGGUUAGAACUUCUAGGCACAGGCAAGCAAAUCUGAGGUUCAGCUGUGAAAAAUGGACCUUUUCGGCCUUCAGUUUCCCCACUACUGUGCAUUUCAUCAGUUUCUGGUUAUAACAAGGAGAAACUCUGUCUCUAGGAUCGAUAUCUCUUUUUUAAAUGUUGGCACUUUCCUUCGUGGUUAAAAUAUAUUUAUUCAAGAUAUUUCCUUUAGGAAUAAUUCCGAGUGGAAAGGAGUCAGAGGGUGGGAAAUUGUGUGUCUAACAUUGGUUUUAGUGUGAGCUAUUCUCAAGGUGGUAAGAACAGCAACAGAGGGAGGGAAAAAUGGUGGCAUUCACCUGAUGUUUUGUGGAUGCACAUCACAUUGUGUUACUGGAGGGAAAAAAUGCAAAUGAUAACAAAUGUUGUAUGCAACAAUGUUUUGUGUUUAUAAAAAUGUAUUAAUUCCCUUUUCCACAAAUGAGGCUAAAAUGCAUGAAAAUUUAAAUAUGUAAAGGUGUGAUUAUGCUUACAAUUUGUUUGCAAUAAUUAGCAUGCCUGCAGCCAUUUUGCAUAUUUAUAAUUUUUAAAAUAUUUUCUGAAUAA
Mauremys reevesii (Reeves's turtle) is the source of this 802-nucleotide long non-coding RNA. RefSeq lists it as uncharacterized. The record is from RefSeq and is a predicted model, not a curated record. The transcript has 3 exons. Lineage: Eukaryota; Metazoa; Chordata; Testudines; Geoemydidae.